GCCUACGGGGGGCAGCAGUGGGGAAUAUUGCCCAAUGGGGGAAACCCUGAUGCAGCAACGCCGCGUGAGUGAAGAAGUCAUUCGUGAUGUAAAGCUCUAUCCGCAGGGAAGAAAAUGACGGUACCUGAGUAAGAAGCCCCGGCUAACUACGUGCCAGCAGCCGCGGUAAUACGUAGGGGGCAAGCGUUAUCCGGAUUUACUGGGUGUAAAGGGAGCGUCGGCGGCCAGACAAGUCUGUAGUG
Molecule: ribosomal RNA, 242 nt
Filed under: uncultured bacterium
Lineage: Bacteria
Description: partial 16S ribosomal RNA
Rfam family: Bacterial small subunit ribosomal RNA
Source: RNAcentral